Molecule: long non-coding RNA, 216 nt
Filed under: Elaeis guineensis (African oil palm)
Lineage: Eukaryota; Viridiplantae; Streptophyta; Magnoliopsida; Arecales; Arecaceae
Description: long non-coding RNA (EGUI_LNC068762)
Source: RNAcentral
GGUAGUUCGGAGUAAAGUCGAUCGUGGCUGGGAGAAGUCUGAAAGAGAUUCGGAGAAUAGUCGAUCACUGUAGAGAAUCAGCUGAAAGUGAAGCUCAGAGAGCAUUUGGAACAGUCCGGUAGAUGAAUGGAGAAGCUCAUGAUUGGAGAAGUUUGGAUGGUAUUAUGGAAGCUCAGAUGGUCGGGAGAGUUCGGAAAGACGCCACACAAGGUCGGA